This 429-nucleotide ribosomal RNA is filed under the name Verrucomicrobiota bacterium. Its description in RNAcentral is "Verrucomicrobia bacterium partial 16S ribosomal RNA". It matches the Rfam family "Bacterial small subunit ribosomal RNA", at positions 355 to 776 of the family's 1533-position model. Lineage: Bacteria; Pseudomonadati; Verrucomicrobiota. The record is from RNAcentral.
UAGGGAAUCUUCCGCAAUGGACGAAAGUCUGACGGAGCAACGCCGCGUGAGUGAAGAAGGAUUUCGGUUCGUAAAACUCUGUUGUUAGGGAAGAAAAAAUGUAUAGUAACUAUAUACAAAAGAGACGGUACCUAACCAGAAAGCCACGGCUAACUACGUGCCAGCAGCCGCGGUAAUACGUAGGUGGCAAGCGUUGUCCGGAAUUAUUGGGCGUAAAGCGCGCGCAGGUGGUUUAGAAAGUCUGAUGUGAAAGCCCACGGCUCAACCGUGGAGGGUCAUUGGAAACUAAUAAACAUGAGUGCAGGAGAGAAAAGUGGAAUUCCUAGUGUAGCGGUGAAAUGCGUAGAGAUUAGGAGGAACACCGGUGGCGAAAGCGGCUUUUUGGCCUGCAACUGACACUGAGGCGCGAAAGCGUGGGGAGCAAACAGG